GCGGGCGUGGUGAAAUUGGUAGACACGCCAGAUUUAGGUUCUGGUGGCCUGGCCAUGGGGGUUCGAGUCCCUUCGCCCGCACCA
This 84-nucleotide transfer RNA is filed under the name Alphaproteobacteria bacterium. Its description in RNAcentral is "tRNA-Leu". It matches the Rfam family "tRNA". From Rfam's summary of the family: Transfer RNA (tRNA) molecules are approximately 80 nucleotides in length. Their secondary structure includes four short double-helical elements and three loops (D, anti-codon, and T loops). Lineage: Bacteria; Pseudomonadati; Pseudomonadota; Alphaproteobacteria. The record is from RNAcentral.